UACGGGGGGGGCAAGCGUUGUUCGGAAUUACUGGGCGUAAAGGGCUCGUAGGCGGCCAACUAAGUCGGAUGUGAAAUCCCCAGGCUUAACCUGGGAACUGCAUCCGAUACUGGAUGGCUUGAAUUCGGGAGAGGGAAGCGGAAUUCCAGGUGUAGCGGUGAAAUGCGUAGAUAUCUGGAGGAACACCGGUGGCGAAGGCGGCAUCCUGGACCGACACUGACGCUGAGGAGCGAAAGCCAGGGGAGCAAACGGG
RNAcentral lists this ribosomal RNA (253 nucleotides) under uncultured bacterium. RNAcentral describes it as "partial 16S ribosomal RNA". It matches the Rfam family "Bacterial small subunit ribosomal RNA", at positions 524 to 776 of the family's 1533-position model. The record is from RNAcentral.